Molecule: ribosomal RNA, 465 nt
Filed under: Vreelandella stevensii
Lineage: Bacteria; Pseudomonadati; Pseudomonadota; Gammaproteobacteria; Oceanospirillales; Halomonadaceae
Description: partial 16S ribosomal RNA
Rfam family: Bacterial small subunit ribosomal RNA
Source: RNAcentral
CCUACGGGAGGCUGCAGUGGGGAAUAUUGGACAAUGGGCGAAAGCCUGAUCCAGCCAUGCCGCGUGUGUGAAGAAGGCCUUCGGGUUGUAAAGCACUUUCAGUGGGGAAGAAAGCCUUGGGGCUAAUACCCUCGAGGAAGGACAUCACCCACAGAAGAAGCACCGGCUAACUCCGUGCCAGCAGCCGCGGUAAUACGGAGGGUGCGAGCGUUAAUCGGAAUUACUGGGCGUAAAGCGCGCGUAGGCGGUCUGAUAAGCCGGUUGUGAAAGCCCCGGGCUCAACCUGGGAACGGCAUCCGGAACUGUCAGGCUAGAGUGCAGGAGAGGAAGGUAGAAUUCCCGGUGUAGCGGUGAAAUGCGUAGAGAUCGGGAGGAAUACCAGUGGCGAAGGCGGCCUUCUGGACUGACACUGACGUUGAGGUGCGAAAGCGUGGGUAGCAAACAGGAUUAGAUACCCCAGUAGUC